This 253-nucleotide ribosomal RNA is filed under the name uncultured bacterium. RNAcentral describes it as "partial 16S ribosomal RNA". It matches the Rfam family "Bacterial small subunit ribosomal RNA", at positions 524 to 776 of the family's 1533-position model. The record is from RNAcentral.
UACGUAGGCAGCGAGCGUUGUUCGGAAUUACUGGGCGUAAAGGGUGUGUAGGCGGUUCUCUAAGUUUGGUGUGAAAUCUCCCGGCUUAACCGGGAGGGUGCGCCGAAAACUGGGGGACUAGAGUGCGGGAAGGGAGAGUGGAAUUCCUGGUGUAGCGGUGAAAUGCGUAGAUAUCAGGAGGAACACCGGUGGUGUAGACGGCUCUCUGGACCGUAACUGACGCUGAGACACGAAAGCGUGGGUAGCAAACAGG